Molecule: non-coding RNA, 599 nt
Organism: Pelobates cultripes (western spadefoot toad)
Lineage: Eukaryota; Metazoa; Chordata; Amphibia; Anura; Pelobatidae
Source: the annotation of a GenBank genome assembly
CUCUGAACUGCUCACUGAGAACACUUGUUCCCUUUUGAGAAAAGAUGCAAACCAUCUUUUCCAUUCCAAACAGAGCUGUGAUGAGAAAUAAAGCCAAAUCCUUGCUCCCGACACCAUUCACCAAGCCACAAGUUAAAGUCCAUAAUACGCAUCCGCCUGUCGUUCAUAGUGUUAUGCACAGGCAGAACUUCAGAGAAUGACAGUGUGGAAGCAACCUGCCAUAUAUCAUUGGCAAAAACACUAAAAACUUCCUUAACCUAUGAGAAGCAUUUGAUUGGAAAGCAAUGUAAGUGCAUAAGUAGCUACCUAUCCAUAUGAAUGGAAAACUCCUGAUUGGUUUAGACUCUCCCUGUGGCACUCCUCCAGAUUCUGCUGGGGGAACUGGAGGCAACAUUUGGGUUACACCAUUCACAUGGUCAUUCCUUGCACCAUAACAACAUAAUUUUAAUUAAGUUGUUAUGGUGUCCAGAGUGUUCCUUUAAGCAUUCAGCUUCAUAAGGUAAGGAGGCAACCAGUGACUCAAGCUGCAAUAAUUACAUUUUGGUUAACUUGUUAUAGGGGCUGGAGUGGGUCCAGAAUUUCUUUAAAUUGGUAUCAGG